UGAAGAUCUUAAGAGCUUCCUGCUUGGGAAGAGACUUAAUAAGAAUUAUAGUUAAGGUUUGGGAUAGAUCAAGAGUCUUAGAAACAAAUGCUGACUCCCUGUUGAUAGAGAAAUCAUUUUAAGCUCUCUCAACCUCUGCUUUCCAUUGUAUAGGUCAGAAUUGCAUGUCUUGUCAGGAUUGUUGUACAGAAGAUAUGGAAUAGUGCCAGAGAACUGGAGAGGGCUCUUCCCUUCUGUGGUUGUCACUUUCUGGUCUCCAUCAGACAUGCUUCUUCUCCGUUGUAUUUCCUUUUACAUUUUCCCUCUGUCUGCUUCAG
Pan paniscus (pygmy chimpanzee) is the source of this 317-nucleotide long non-coding RNA. The record is from Ensembl. NCBI's taxonomy places the organism in Eukaryota, Metazoa, Chordata, Mammalia, Primates, Hominidae.